GCUCUUGGUUCUCUUCAGAUCGCAUAAAUCUUUCGCCUUUUACUAAAGAUUUCCGUGGAGAGGACCAAUAAGAGUAUAUCUAUUUUUUUUUCAAUUGAAUGCUACACACUUC
Small nuclear RNA from Limanda limanda (common dab), 112 nucleotides. RefSeq annotates it as U5 spliceosomal RNA. Lineage: Eukaryota; Metazoa; Chordata; Actinopteri; Pleuronectiformes; Pleuronectidae. The record is from RefSeq and is a predicted model, not a curated record. The transcript has a single exon.